This 429-nucleotide ribosomal RNA is filed under the name Gemmatimonadota bacterium. RNAcentral describes it as "Gemmatimonadetes bacterium partial 16S ribosomal RNA". It matches the Rfam family "Bacterial small subunit ribosomal RNA", at positions 355 to 776 of the family's 1533-position model. Lineage: Bacteria; Pseudomonadati; Gemmatimonadota. The record is from RNAcentral.
UAGGGAAUCUUCGGCAAUGGACGAAAGUCUGACCGAGCAACGCCGCGUGAGUGAAGAAGGUUUUCGGAUCGUAAAACUCUGUUGUUAGAGAAGAACAAGGACGUUAGUAACUGAACGUCCCCUGACGGUAUCUAACCAGAAAGCCACGGCUAACUACGUGCCAGCAGCCGCGGUAAUACGUAGGUGGCAAGCGUUGUCCGGAUUUAUUGGGCGUAAAGCGAGCGCAGGCGGUUUCUUAAGUCUGAUGUGAAAGCCCCCGGCUCAACAGGGGAGGGUCAUUGGAAACUGGGAGACUUGAGUGCAGAAGAGGAGAGUGGAAUUCCAUGUGUAGCGGUGAAAUGCGUAGAUAUAUGGAGGAACACCAGUGGCGAAGGCGGCUCUCUGGUCUGUAACUGACGCUGAGGCGCGAAAGCGUGGGGAGCAAACAGG